Molecule: ribosomal RNA, 292 nt
Filed under: uncultured bacterium
Lineage: Bacteria
Description: partial 16S ribosomal RNA
Rfam family: Bacterial small subunit ribosomal RNA
Source: RNAcentral
GUGGAUUAGAUACCCGGGUAGUCCUGGCAGUAAACGGUGCACGUUUGGUAUGGGCGCAAUCGACCGCGCCCGUGCCGGAGCUAACGCGUUAAACGUGCCGCCUGGGAAGUACGGUCGCAAGAUUAAAACUCAAAGAAAUUGACGGGGACCCGCACAAGCGGUGGAGUAUGUGGCUUAAUUCGAUGCAACGCGAAGAACCUUACCUGGUCUUGACAUGCAUUGUGUCUCCGCUGAAAGGCGGAUAGCGUAGCAAUACGCGCUUUGCACAGGUGCUGCACGGCCGUCGACAGCU